AAAUUUAUUUUUAUUGAAAAAAUGAAAUAAAAGUUCCUUUUAGGAUCCUCCGAAAUCACGGUUAUGAAUCACCUAUCAGGAGAUGAAUUUUUCAUGGAGACGUAGAUAACAUUCCUAUUGCAAAAAUAGGUGUAGCUAAAAAGAUAAACUAUUAAAAGAAAUUUGGAUGGAACAAGGCUUGACUGGGCAGUAAAUCUCAAACACCAGUGAGUUUCAUUCCUAAACGCAGCCUCCAAAGACACAGAAAAGAGCCAUCAGGUUGUGCAAACUGGAAUGAGCUGGUUAGAUUCCAUUGCCAGACAAGCAACAGGCUGGCCGUGUGCCGACUCUCAGAGAUAUCGAUCCCCACUCAAUCAGACCUUCUCCCACCCAAAGAAUAAAGGAGAAAAAAGCCCUGAAACUAAGGAAGACCUUCCUCAGCUUCCAGGGGUUAUAUUUCUAAGUUUUCUUGGUUGAAAGCUCUCAGGCAUCUCUCCUAAAGAAACCAGCCCAGCUGAUACACUCUUGUCAAUGCAGCCAUGGCUUACUCACAGCACAUCCAACUAUUUAACAUGUAUUUCUUGCAACAGGAAAGAAGAUGCAGAACCAUCAUUAAUUUAUAGUUGUGUUCUCAGGAUAUAGCAGUUAUCUAUUGCUAAAAUAACACUGUGUAACAAACUGCCCCAAAACUCACUGUCUUGACACAAUAGAUAAUUAUUUCAGCUCAUGAGUCUAGUUGGCUGGACAGUUCUGGUCAUCACAAGACGUCAGCUGGAAUGACUGGGAGAUUCAGUUCUGCUCCAUGUGUCUCUCAUGCUCACCCCUGGGACCAGCGGGCUUGGGAGAUUCAGUUCUGCUCCAUGUGUCUCUCAUGCUCUCCCAUGGGACCAGUGGGCUAGCCUUGGAAUGUCCUUCUCAUGGCAGUGGCAAAGGACAAGAGCAGACAGGCCCACCAUCAAGCAUUUUCAUGCCUCUACUUGUGUCACACUUGCUAACAUCCCAUUGGCCAAAUCAAGUCACAUGGCUGUCCAGAGUCAGAGAAGGAGGGCUCCGCAAAGUCACAUAACAUGGUUCUGGGAGAGGUAAAGAAUCAGUGCCAUUUUUACAAACUGCCAAAGGAGACAGCCAUGAAGAUGAUGAUAAAGGCAGUCUUGGGUCUAAUUAGCUGGUAUUUGGACAAGAGAAAGCAGCAGGAUUUAUUUAUCCAAUGUAGUUACAUUUUUUUACUUUUCCAUAAGUGGUUUUUGUUUAGAAGGAGGAUGGAAAUAGAAGCCUCCUGUGGACUUGGAUGUCAACUAAGAAAGAUUCAGAUACCCAAGGAAAUGAAGGAAGAAGAGAAGAUUUUAAUACCUAACAAGGAAAAAUCACAGCGUCUGCUGCCACCCCUGGGGAGAUGGACUCCUGCCUAAGUAACUGGCAAAAAGGGUCUGCUCAGCACCAGUGUUUUGCCAAGAAAUCUUCAAGGUGACCUGAUGCAGGAACUUCAGGCUCGGGGGAGGAGGACGGAGUAUUCCACUGAGCAAAGCAAAGCCCUGGCCUCAGCGAGCUUACAGUCCAGUGGAGGAGAUUGGUUUUGUCAUAGAACCAAGCAAUCAAAUGUGAAACUGCAAGGGUAGGGCGCAUGAAGGUUGAGGAUGUGAACCUCUGGGAGCAUAUAAUAGAAGGGGGUGGGAGAUCAGGGAAGGCUUCCCUGAGGAGGCGAUGGUUGACAGCCAUCUGGAAGACCCUUGGGAGUUAACUAGAUGCAGGAUGGGUUUGAGACAGGAGACAAAAGUAGAGCAUUCCAGCAAAGGAGACACACUUGUACAAAAGCCCUAUGGUGGGAGGGAGAAUGACAAACUCUGAGGAGUCAUACUUGCCCAUCUCCUGCUCCAUUCGAUCUUAAGAAAAAGACAGAAAUCUCUACCCUGACUUCAAGCCCGGCGUGAUCUAGUCCCUGACUGCCCCAUCUCCCUCCAAUCCUCGUCCACCUCUCACGCUUCUACCUUCCAGCGAGGCCAAACUCAACCCCAAACCCGUCUGUGGGACUCCUUAUAGGGAAAAGAAAGGAAUCUCAUUUGUGGGGCAUCUAGCCAGAUAUCAUGGUAGAUACACUGUAUUUAUACACACACACACGUACACACCACCGUAAUCACAAUAUUUCCUAUGAGGUAAAGGCUGGCGUUGCCUGCAUUUCACAGGAGGGGAAGUUGAGGCUUGGUGUGGAUAAGCAACAAGACAAAGACCACACAGACUCGGGGGUGGAACUGGGAUUCAAACCCCAGUGGUCUGACGCCAGAACCACAACGAACGUGCUAUACUCCUUCCCUCCCACAUGGUGGAAGUUGGGAAGAGGAGAUGGGUGAGGUCUUGGGACGGCCAUCAGCGAGACCCGAUACAGUUCUCUCAUACCAAGCCCAUUCGAUUGGUAGUGGCUGCCUAGAAUGCAGUGUCGAAAAGGGCUGUGAAGCCACAUCCCGGCCUCCAGGACAGUUCACUGUGAUUGAUUAGCAAUGUCUGCCAUGAGCACAGGACAGGGAAGGGUCAGCACAAGUGCUGGGUAUUUUCUGUCCCAGGACCAGCUGAAUAUAUCCUCUGGAUUCCUCUCUCCAGUCCAAAUUUGGGAAGUGUGGACCAGAGUUCCUUCUCCAUAAGACUUUCCUCGGCAUUCUCCAGCUGCUCCAGGGCUCUAUUCCAGAGAUCUCAACUCAACUGCAG
Long non-coding RNA from Equus caballus (horse), 2676 nucleotides. The record is from Ensembl. NCBI's taxonomy places the organism in Eukaryota, Metazoa, Chordata, Mammalia, Perissodactyla, Equidae.